This 497-nucleotide ribosomal RNA is filed under the name uncultured bacterium. RNAcentral describes it as "partial 16S ribosomal RNA". It matches the Rfam family "Bacterial small subunit ribosomal RNA", at positions 28 to 507 of the family's 1533-position model. The record is from RNAcentral.
GAUGAACGCUGGCGGCGUGCCUAAUACAUGCAAGUCGAGCGAACAGACGAGGAGCUUGCUCCUCUGACGUUAGCGGCGGACGGGUGAGUAACACGUGGAUAACCUACCUAUAAGACUGGGAUAACUUCGGGAAACCGGAGCUAAUACCGGAUAAUAUAUUGAACCGCAUGGUUCAAUAGUGAAAGACGGUUUUGCUGUCACUUAUAGAUGGCUCCGCGCCGCAUUAGCUAGUUGGUAAGGUAACGGCUUACCAAGGCAACGAUGCGUAGCCGACCGGAGAGGGUGAUCGGCCACAUUGGAACUGAGACACGGUCCAGACUCCUACGGGAGGCAGCAGUAGGGAAUCUUCCGCAAUGGGCGAAAGCCUGACGGAGCAACGCCGCGUGAGUGAUGAAGGUCUUCGGAUCGUAAAACUCUGUUAUUAGGGAAGAACAAAUGUGUAAGUAACUAUGCACGUCUUGACGGUACCUAAUCAGAAAGCCACGGCUAACUACGUG